CUGCUCCGCACAGCUGCAGGGAUGAGCCAACGACAGAGGACGUACAGGACAGCUGCUGAAAUCACCGUCACUGCCAACACACUCCACGGCAUCCUGUGAAAGAGAGAGAGACGUGCACAAAGAGAAUAAACGAUUAAGGCAUCGUUGUCCUCAUCACAGAACAACAAACUCCAUGCUAACCAGUCAGAUUUCAAGAGAGGUCACUCAACGGAGACUGCUCUGCUCUCAGUCACUGAAGCCUUGCGGAUUGCUAAAGCUGAUUCCAAAUCAUCGGUUAUUAUUCCACUGGAUCUACCAGCUGCUUUCCACAAUGUCAAUCAUCAGAUCCUCCGGUCCACCCUCUCCUCUCAUCUCUGGGCAUCACCGGGAUUCGCUGGUCUGAGUUCGCUGUCUGUUUGCCUCUUUAAAAUGAAUCGCUUUAUGUAUUCCCCAUUCGUAAAAGUUCACCCCAAAAUAAAAAAUGCUGCCAUCAUU
Long non-coding RNA from Puntigrus tetrazona (Sumatra barb), 474 nucleotides. RefSeq lists it as uncharacterized. Lineage: Eukaryota; Metazoa; Chordata; Actinopteri; Cypriniformes; Cyprinidae. The record is from RefSeq and is a predicted model, not a curated record. The transcript is spliced from 2 exons.